UUUCAAAAUAAUACGAUAAACAAUAGAUAAUUCAUCGAUUAUAGAUUAGUAACUUGUUGAAAAUGGAAGUAGCCUUUUGGCGCUGAUGAAUGAUGAAUGAUUUACCACAGCUUUGUUCAUUGCUGUGCUUCUAGGGAAACAACUCUCAACCACAUAGUCCCCAGUGAUACAAGCGGAGCCGAUGCAGAAAUAACCGGGGCAUCUGGAGCUAAAUGAGGGAAGGUAAGAAACACUGAAACAUGUUUUUUUCUGUGCUGACAUUUCUUCAGUACUAUGCUUUUGUUGUAUGUGCUGAAAUUAUUAUUUUUACAAGCAGCUAACCGCAAAAAACUAACCGUGAUAUCCGACAGAAUGGUCAGAAGUAAUUAGUCCAAAGAAUAAUGAUUUGAAAUCUCAUGAUGAGGGAACCAACGUGAAGUUGAUAAUAGCCCAUUUAUAUCAAGGUUGUUAUUAGACCACGCACACAGAAAUAUAGCAAUAUGAUGGUGGAAACAUAGAAAGCAUGUGUGUGUGUGUCUCUCUCUCUCUCUCUCUCUCUCUCUCUCUCUCUCUCUCUCUCUCUCUCUCUCUCUCUCUCUCUCUCUCUCUCUCUCUCUCUCUCUCUCUCAGCCUAUUAUUAUCCAAUGAGCAAUAUGCUGAGGAGGAUGACAUCACGUAUUCCAAGGUUGCAGUGGCACAUCCAAAGAAGAAAUAAGAUUGAGAUACCACUCUUUCACUGCAAUAACAAAUAUAUACAAUAUAUAAUAAAAAUAAUAAUUAUAUAUAUAUAACAGCUACAGGUACAAUCGUGUAUAUAUUUAACCUAGGGAUUUUCGGAGUGUCGCUAACCAAAAAUCCCAUGAUGCAUUGUGAUGUACAAGCGCUAUUGGAAGUAUUUGAUUAAAUCUGAUUUGUGUAAUAUGGUAAGAUGAAGAAUCAAUGGUUAAAUUGUACGUCCUCUUAGCUUGUUGCACCACAAAUAUACUUUGGAGUUGUA
This is a long non-coding RNA of Gadus morhua (Atlantic cod), 976 nucleotides long. RefSeq lists it as uncharacterized. The transcript is spliced from 2 exons. Lineage: Eukaryota; Metazoa; Chordata; Actinopteri; Gadiformes; Gadidae. The record is from RefSeq and is a predicted model, not a curated record.